GAUGAACGCUAGCGGCAGGCUUAACACAUGCAAGUCGAGGGGCAGCAUAGAUUGUAGCAAUACAAUUGGUGGCGACCGGCGCACGGGUGCGUAACGCGUAUGCAACCUACCCGUCACAGGGGGAUAAUCCGGAGAAAUCUGGUCUAAUACCCCAUAACAUAUGGAUCGGCAUCGGUUCAUGUUGAAAUUUUCGGAGGUGACGGAUGGGCAUGCGUAGCAUUAGCCUGUUGGUGAGGUAACGGCUCACCAAGGCGACGAUGCUUAGGGGGACUGAGAGGUUUUCCCCCCACACUGGUACUGAGACACGGACCAGACUCCUACGGGAGGCAGCAGUGAGGAAUAUUGGUCAAUGGGCGCAAGCCUGAACCAGCCAUGCCGCGUGCAGGAUGACGGCUCUAUGAGUUGUAAACUGCUUUUGUACGAGGGUAAAGUGGGUUACGUGUAACCUUUUGAAAGUAUCGUACGAAUAAGGAUCGGCUAACUCCGUGCCAGCCGCCGCGGUAA
This 504-nucleotide ribosomal RNA is filed under the name uncultured bacterium. Its description in RNAcentral is "partial 16S ribosomal RNA". It matches the Rfam family "Bacterial small subunit ribosomal RNA", at positions 28 to 523 of the family's 1533-position model. The record is from RNAcentral.